GUGCUCUCCCGAUCUAAAGUGAAGCUGGGGCCCAGCGUCAGAAGUCUAGUUUUAUAGGCAACUGUCCUGUGAUGUCAGUGGUGCAGCAUGUUUGCCACUUUAUUAUAUAGCUAAGCAGAACAUGUGCUUAAUCUUUGGAUGCUGAAGGAGAUGGAUGGGCUUUGGAGUGAAUAUGGCAGUUUAAAAAAAAAAUACCUUCAUUUUUUGGGCCUGCAUAUUUAGGUGUUUUGGAACACAGUUUUUUCCUCCUUGAGUUUCAAAUAUAAGACUGCUAUAGUCACAUGACAAUAUUGAGAGGUGGAAUCUUGUUUGUUACUGUCAUUCCCAUUCCUUUUCGUUUAGAAUCAGAAUAAAGUUGUAUUUCAAAUAU
Long non-coding RNA from Cervus elaphus (red deer), 370 nucleotides. RefSeq lists it as uncharacterized. The record is from RefSeq and is a predicted model, not a curated record. Lineage: Eukaryota; Metazoa; Chordata; Mammalia; Artiodactyla; Cervidae. The transcript has 3 exons.